UUUUUUUUACAUAAGCAAUUUCUGGCGUCGUAAUAAAUGAAAAGCAAUACCUAAAUUAAAUUGGACAUGAUUAUUAAAGAUAUUUAUCGUAUUAUACUUAAAAAUAGUAAAAAACUCAACAAUAAUUCUACACCGAAACUAAUUACCAAUUAUAUAAGGAAGCUUAUUGACAAUAAUGAAGUUACAGCCUCUAGAUAUUGUAGAGAUAAAAAUAAAGUAGAAAUGCUUAUUAAAAAUUAUUCAGAUUACACUACAAAUAUAUUGCGUUAUAAGGAUUUGUGCGCUAAAUAUUAUAGCUCCAAAGAAGUAACAGUGGAACAAGCAGCUAAAAGAAUGGGUUUUGAAUUGCCUAAAUCGAAAUGAUAUUACAUAUGUUUAAAUAAAACGUUUUAAGAAGUUUGCAAUCAGAACCAAAAUUUAUAAUAAAAUUUUGUUAUUUAUAAUAAAAUUUUGUUAUUUA
This is a long non-coding RNA of Gordionus sp. m RMFG-2023, 460 nucleotides long. RefSeq lists it as uncharacterized. Lineage: Eukaryota; Metazoa; Nematomorpha; Gordioida; Chordodea; Parachordodidae. The transcript is spliced from 3 exons. The record is from RefSeq and is a predicted model, not a curated record.